Molecule: ribosomal RNA, 255 nt
Filed under: uncultured bacterium
Lineage: Bacteria
Description: partial 16S ribosomal RNA
Rfam family: Bacterial small subunit ribosomal RNA
Source: RNAcentral
UACAGAGGGUGCGAGCGUUGUUCGGAAUUAUUGGGCGUAAAGGGCGCGUAGGCGGUGCGGUAAGUCACCUGUGAAAUCUCCUGGCUCAACUGGGAGCUUGCAGGCGAAACUGCCGUGCUGGAGUGUGGGAGAGGGGGGGUGGAAUUCCGCGUGUAGCAGUGAAAUGCGUAGAGAUGCGGAGGAACACCGAUGGCGAAGGCAGCCCCCCUGGGCUGACACUGACGCUCAGGCACGAAAGCGUGGGGAGCAAACAGG